UACGUAGGGUGCAAGCGUUAAUCGGAAUUACUGGGCGUAAAGCGCGCGUAGGUGGUUUGUUAAGUUGAAUGUGAAAUCCCCGGGCUCAACCUGGGAACUGCAUCCAAAACUGGCGAGCUAGAGUAUGGUAGAGGGUGGUGGAAUUUCCUGUGUAGCGGUGAAAUGCGUAGAUAUAGGAAGGAACACCAGUGGCGAAGGCGACCACCUGGACUGAUACUGACACUGAGGUGCGAAAGCGUGGGGAGCAAACAGG
This 253-nucleotide ribosomal RNA is filed under the name uncultured bacterium. RNAcentral describes it as "partial 16S ribosomal RNA". It matches the Rfam family "Bacterial small subunit ribosomal RNA", at positions 524 to 776 of the family's 1533-position model. The record is from RNAcentral.